This 82-nucleotide microRNA precursor is filed under the name Populus trichocarpa (black cottonwood). RNAcentral describes it as "miR164c stem-loop (ptc-MIR164c)". Its record names the gene ptc-MIR164c. It matches the Rfam family "MIR164 microRNA precursor family". Lineage: Eukaryota; Viridiplantae; Streptophyta; Magnoliopsida; Malpighiales; Salicaceae. The record is from miRBase by way of RNAcentral.
UAGCUCUUGCUGGAGAAGCAGGGCACGUGCAAGCUCUCUCCUCAGGCUUUCCUUGCACGUGCUCCCCUUCUCCAACAUGGGU